GACGAACGCUGGCGGCGUGCUUAACACAUGCAAGUCGAACGGAAAGGCCCUGCUUUUGUGGGGUGCUCGAGUGGCGAACGGGUGAGUAACACGUGAGUAACCUGCCCUUGACUUUGGGAUAACUUCAGGAAACUGGGGCUAAUACCGGAUAGGAGAUCCUGCUGCAUGUUGGGGGUUGGAAAGUUUCGGCGGUUGGGGAUGGACUCGCGGCUUAUCAGCUUGUUGGUGGGGUAGUGGCUUACCAAGGCUUUGACGGGUAGCCGGCCUGAGAGGGUGACCGGCCACAUUGGGACUGAGAUACGGCCCAGACUCAUACGGGAGGCAGCAGUGGGGAAUAUAGCACAAUGGGCGGAAGCCUGAUGCAGCAACGCCGCGUGCGGGAUGACGGCCUUCGGGUUGUAAAACGCUUUCGCCUGUGACGAAGCGUGAGUGACGGUAAUGGGUAAAGAAGCACCGGCUAACUACGU
RNAcentral lists this ribosomal RNA (467 nucleotides) under uncultured bacterium. RNAcentral describes it as "partial 16S ribosomal RNA". It matches the Rfam family "Bacterial small subunit ribosomal RNA", at positions 28 to 506 of the family's 1533-position model. The record is from RNAcentral.